Molecule: ribosomal RNA, 904 nt
Filed under: Ramularia sp.
Lineage: Eukaryota; Fungi; Ascomycota; Dothideomycetes; Mycosphaerellales; Mycosphaerellaceae
Description: partial large subunit ribosomal RNA
Rfam family: Eukaryotic large subunit ribosomal RNA
Source: RNAcentral
GAACUUAAGCAUAUCAAUAAGCGGAGGAAAAGAAACCAACAGGGAUUGCCCUAGUAACGGCGAGUGAAGCGGCAACAGCUCAAAUUUGAAAUCUGGCGCAAGCCCGAGUUGUAAUUUGUAGAGGAUGCUUCUAGGUAGCGACCGGUCUAAGUUCCUUGGAACAGGACGUCAUAGAGGGUGAGAAUCCCGUAUGUGACCGGCCCGCACCUUCUACGUAGCUCCUUCGACGAGUCGAGUUGUUUGGGAAUGCAGCUCUAAAUGGGAGGUAAAUUUCUUCUAAAGCUAAAUACCGGCCAGAGACCGAUAGCGCACAAGUAGAGUGAUCGAAAGAUGAAAAGCACUUUGGAAAGAGAGUUAAAAAGCACGUGAAAUUGUUGAAAGGGAAGCGCUUACAACCAGACUUCUGGGCGGUGUUCCGCCGGUCUUCUGACCGGUCUACUCGCCGUCCCGAGGCCAACAUCAUCUGGGACCGCCGGAUAAGACCUCAGGAAUGUAGCUCCCCUCGGGGAGUGUUAUAGCCUGUGGUGAUGCGGCGCGUCUCGGGUGAGGUCCGCGCUUCGGCAAGGAUGUUGGCGUAAUGGUUGUCAGCGGCCCGUCUUGAAACACGGACCAAGGAGUCUAACAUCUAUGCGAGUGUUCGGGUGUCAAACCCCUACGCGUAAUGAAAGUGAACGGAGGUGGGAAGGGUAACCUGCACCAUCGACCGAUCCUGAUGUCCUCGGAUGGAUUUGAGUAAGAGCAUAGCUGUUGGGACCCGAAAGAUGGUGAACUAUGCCUGAAUAGGGUGAAGCCAGAGGAAACUCUGGUGGAGGCUCGCAGCGGUUCUGACGUGCAAAUCGAUCGUCAAAUUUGGGUAUAGGGGCGAAAGACUAAUCGAACCAUCUAGUAGCUGGUUCCUGCCGAA